This 774-nucleotide long non-coding RNA is filed under the name Dasypus novemcinctus (nine-banded armadillo). RNAcentral describes it as "lncRNA (ENSDNOG00000050372.1)". Lineage: Eukaryota; Metazoa; Chordata; Mammalia; Cingulata; Dasypodidae. The record is from RNAcentral.
CGCUCUAGGCCGCUGCCCACACCUCCCAGCUGCGUUUCCGCCGAGGCCGGGCAGGUGAAGAGAUUCCUGGCGAGCGGCCCUGGUAUGGUGUGAGUCUUCGCCGACUUGCACCAUCGGGCGGCAUCUCCCGCCAUCCUACACCCUCUGGCGCCUUCCCUUCUGUCCCGCUGCCAACCCGCGCCGUAGGUGUCGGCGCUCCGGGACCCUGAUCCACACUUCUGGAUGUGCCUGCACUCUGGCCUGGGGAUGAGGAUGCCCCAUGGGACCAGUAGAGUGUACAUAAGAUGAAGCUUAGAAGCUGCAGAGGAGGUAACUCAGUGCAGGAAGACCCAGGAGAGGUGUCUUCAUCCUGUCAGGAAGCAGCUGGACCUUGAGGACCGGAGGAGUGUCACAUGUCUGCUGUUCGGGUGUGUGAGCGGUGGGUGUCCUUGGGUCCAGAUUCAUGAUGGUAUUUGUGGACACCAGAGUGGCACAGAACCGAGAUUGAGGCUGCCAGAUGAAGCAUCACCAGAGCUCCUUCAUUCUGCACAAGAGAAGAGAGGGAAAGGCUUAGGGUCCAGACAUUGGAGAUGCUGUAGCUGGGCUCUGGAUUGUACCAACAGGGCCAACAGAGGGCAAUGGGCAAGGCCCAGUCCCAUGUCCCUCCACCAUACCUGGCACGGCUUUAUAAUAACAAAGAAUUUUUCUCUUAGAUUUGUAGCCCUUUUCGUCAUCAUCCUCUCCUCCCACCCAUUCAAUAAACAAACUUGCUCAACCUGCCUUUUAAAUCAGUAA